GCCUCUAGCAACAACAAGUAUUAGAGGUAAUGCCUGCCCAGUGACACUGUUAAACGGCCGCGGUAUCCUAACCGUGCAAAGGUAGCGUAAUCACUUGUCUUUUAAAUAAAGACUAGAAUGAAUGGCCAAACGAGGUUCCACCUGUCUCUUACAAACAAUCAGUGAAAUUGGUCUCCCCGUGCAAAAGCGGGGAUAACAUUAUAAGACGAGAAGACCCUGUGGAACUUUAAAUAUAAAUCAACUAUUACACUUACUACCCUAAAGACUUAUAACUUACUAGUUCUGAUCCAUAUUUUUGGUUGGGGUGACCUCGGAGUAAAACAAAACCUCCGAAAAAAAGAACAUACUUUCUUAACCUAGAUUUACAACUCAAAGUGCCAACGGUAAAAUGAUCCAAUACAUUUGAUCAACGAACCAAGCUACCCCAGGGAUAACAGCGCAAUCCCAUCCUAGAGUCCCUAUCGACGAUGGGGUUUACGACCUCGAUGUUGGAUCAGGACAUCCUGAUGGUGCAACCGCUAUCAAGGGUUCGUUUGUUCAACGAUUAACAGUCCCACGUGAU
RNAcentral lists this ribosomal RNA (562 nucleotides) under Lepidochelys kempii (Atlantic ridley). RNAcentral describes it as "partial 16S ribosomal RNA". It matches the Rfam family "Bacterial large subunit ribosomal RNA", at positions 1818 to 2604 of the family's 2925-position model. Lineage: Eukaryota; Metazoa; Chordata; Testudines; Cheloniidae. The record is from RNAcentral.